Long non-coding RNA from Etheostoma cragini (Arkansas darter), 101 nucleotides. RefSeq lists it as uncharacterized. The record is from RefSeq and is a predicted model, not a curated record. Lineage: Eukaryota; Metazoa; Chordata; Actinopteri; Perciformes; Percidae. The transcript is spliced from 3 exons.
AUGGGCUUAAGAGACCGUUUGGGCUUUAGCAGAAUGGGGGGAAGGGACUAAGAAGUUGUCAAUGUUCAAAUUCUUUGGCUGAGUCCUAGAACUUCAUAGUC